This 337-nucleotide unclassified non-coding RNA is filed under the name soil metagenome. RNAcentral's name for it is "partial contains 5.8S ribosomal RNA, internal transcribed spacer 2, and large subunit ribosomal RNA". The stretch from base 1 to 120 matches the Rfam family "5.8S ribosomal RNA", at positions 35 to 154 of the family's 154-position model. The record is from RNAcentral.
GAUGAAGAACGUAGCGAAAUGCGAUAAGUAGUGUGAAUUGCAGAAUUCAGUGAAUCAUCGAAUCUUUGAACGCACAUUGCGCCCCAUGGUAUUCCGUGGGGCAUGCCUGUUCGAGCGUCAUUUACCCCCUCAAGCUCCGCUUGGUGUUGGGCGUCUGUCCCGCUUCGCGCGCGGACUCGCCCCAAAGGUAUUGGCAGCGAUCGUGCCAGCUUCUCGCGCAGCACAUUGCGCUUCUCGAGGCACCGGUGGGCCCGCGUCCAUCAAGCUCACCCCCCCAGUUUGACCUCGGAUCAGGUAGGGAUACCCGCUGAACUUAAGCAUAUCAAUAAGCGGAGGA